This 70-nucleotide ribosomal RNA is filed under the name Synechococcaceae bacterium WB9_2_170. Its description in RNAcentral is "partial 16S ribosomal RNA". It matches the Rfam family "Bacterial small subunit ribosomal RNA", at positions 1 to 66 of the family's 1533-position model. The record is from RNAcentral. Lineage: Bacteria; Bacillati; Cyanobacteriota; Cyanophyceae; Synechococcales; Synechococcaceae.
GUCUACAACGGAGAGUUUGAUCCUGGCUCAGGAUGAACGCUGGCGGCGUGCUUAACACAUGCAAGUCGAA